AGCGGGAAAAGCUCAAAUUUAAAAUCUGGCGUCCUCCGGGCGUCCGAGUUGUAAUCUGGAGAAGCGUUUUCCGCGUCGGACCGUGUACAAGUCUUCUGGAACGGAGCGUCAUAGAGGGUGAGAAUCCCGUCUCUGACACGGACUACCGAUGCUUUUGUGAUGCGCUCUCGAAGAGUCGAGUUGUUUGGGAAUGCAGCUCAAAAUGGGUGGUAAAUUCCAUCUAAAGCUAAAUAUUGGCCAGAGACCGAUAGCGAACAAGUACCGUGAGGGAAAGAUGAAAAGCACUUUGGAAAGAGAGUUAAACAGUACGUGAAAUUGUUGAAAGGGAAACGCUUGAAGUCAGUCGCGUUGGCCGAGACUCAGCCUGGCUUGCCUGGUGUACUUCUCGGUUGACGGGUCAGCAUCAGUUUUGACCGUCGGAUAAAGGUUGGAGGAAUGUGGCAUCCCUCGGGAUGUGUUAUAGCCUCUGAUUCGCAUACGGCGAUUGGGACUGAGGAACUCAGCACGCCUUUAUGGUCGGGGUUCGCCCACGUAACGUGCUUAGGAUGCUGGCAUAAUGGCUUUAAGCGACCCGUCUUGAAACACGGACCAAGGAGUCUAACAUGCCCGCGAGUGUUUGGGUGUUAAACCCGAGCGCGUAAUGAAAGUGAAAGUUGAGAUCCC
Molecule: ribosomal RNA, 663 nt
Filed under: Athelia abscondita
Lineage: Eukaryota; Fungi; Basidiomycota; Agaricomycetes; Atheliales; Atheliaceae
Description: partial large subunit ribosomal RNA
Rfam family: Eukaryotic large subunit ribosomal RNA
Source: RNAcentral